This 864-nucleotide long non-coding RNA is filed under the name Heterocephalus glaber (naked mole-rat). Its description in RNAcentral is "lncRNA (ENSHGLG00000034817.1)". The record is from RNAcentral. Lineage: Eukaryota; Metazoa; Chordata; Mammalia; Rodentia; Bathyergidae.
CUGAAUUGCCAACUUGUGACUCUCCAGAACUUACUUCCUCUCUGUCUUUGAAUCAGGCAAUGUGCCUAAUUAUGACUACUUUUCAGAUUGUACCUUAGAGUGAGGCUCCACUAACCAGCCAGAAAUAUACACCAUGGACAAGAAAUAGAUUUUCAUUAGUAUAAGUGAGAGAGGAGACCACCUCUCUGUAUGGAAUUAGGCAACUACGGGUUAACUGUGUUAUUAGGGAACUAUGGGCUAGCUAGGUAACUAGAUUCUUUGUGGAAUGUAUCUGAGUAUCCAUGACAAUUUCUGUAAUCUGUCACCAAAGGAGCGUAACAGAAUCAGAAAGUCUUGUCAGGCCAGGAUUUAGCUCAGUGGAUCCAGCACCUGCCUUGCAAGGGACCCUGCCUUGCAAGGGAAAGGUCCCCAGUUCAAUCCCCAGUACCAAAAAACGAACAAACAAACAAAGUCCUGCCAGAACUCUUUGCUCUCCCCCUCACACACACACACACACACACCUGUUGCUCUGCUUUGUAUAAAUCCUGCUUGCUAUAUUCCAGGGAAACUCCAAUGAAACUGCCAUUUUAUAGAAUCUUGGAGCAACAGAUUGCAAUCCCAAUCAGCCGCAAACAACUGUCUUGAGGAGAUGAUUUCAUCCUCCAUGAACACCACAGAUGAGAACCAGUUAUCUCAACUCAGAGGGAAAUACCAUCAAUCCCAUAAGACUAUGGGGAAAUGUGACUGGAAAUAUCUUGGAAAGACUAUAUGGAAAGAAGACAGAACAAAAAUAAUUAUGAUCAAUAUUGGUUGGGAAACAAAAUUUCACCUUCCUUCAUGUAAGAUACUACAUUGAGAUUGUAAGCGAUACAGAUAAAUAAAAAU